Long non-coding RNA from Mauremys reevesii (Reeves's turtle), 838 nucleotides. RefSeq lists it as uncharacterized. NCBI's taxonomy places the organism in Eukaryota, Metazoa, Chordata, Testudines, Geoemydidae. The transcript is spliced from 3 exons. The record is from RefSeq and is a predicted model, not a curated record.
CCCUGCUCAAAACAGGACUAAGCAGAGAACCCCAGACAUCACCUGCUCCUUAAUUUGUGCAACUCCAUAAAGAGCACAUUGCUGGGUCUAAUCUGGAGAUGCCAAAGGCCUGGAUCAUUGGAGCAAGACCCUCACACCUUUCCUGACAAGGGCAAAUGAAAGACACUGCUGGUCACCACUGCCACCUGAGCAACUAGGAACAACUGAGGACCAAAUAUUGCUCCUGCAAUUGCAACCCCCUAUAACAAGUGAUGGGCAACACCUCAGUUGAGGAGACUCCCCUAAUCUCCACCAUUUCUUACACUUUCUUCCCCCAAUCAUCACACAUUCUCUUGGUCUUCACUGGCUCAAACCUCAGCCAUCUAGCCCUCCUACAACCCCCAGAUGCUCAACCACCUGGUUAGGUCAGAGAAAAGAGACAUAGUGCUGAGUGUCACCAGCAUGUUUCGCUCUUCCUCCAAGGCCAGCUGGUGGGAAUCCUGGAGUAUAAGGCUCGCUCUCUUUACACACAGGGAAGCCAUUCCCAACAACAUUCUUUUAAAACUCUUCAAACCCUUCCAGAGUAGCUGUUGGUAAUGCAAGGCACCUUGAUGCACAAUUCAAGAUGAAGGGAGGCUCUGAAGCACAGAGGUAGUUCAUCAGCUAAUCAUCCUCAGAAAUUAGCCACUGAAAUGAGCACAGGCCUGUGGAGCUGUGCAAUUCCCCAGGACUGACACAGCAGCCUGUGUCACAUUCUCCUUUGUAGGAACACAUCGCUGGCUAUUUCACGAACAGGACAGAGCCCACUACCACCUCCGCCAGCUGCUACUGUUACCUGAGUAGCAGCAGCUGAGGUCUC